GGAGAGAUGGCAGAGCGGUUGAAUGCGGCGGUCUCGAAAACCGUUGUGCGUGCAAACGUACCGGGGGUUCGAAUCCCCCUCUCUCCGCCA
This 90-nucleotide transfer RNA is filed under the name Alphaproteobacteria bacterium. RNAcentral describes it as "tRNA-Ser". It matches the Rfam family "tRNA". Rfam says of the family: Transfer RNA (tRNA) molecules are approximately 80 nucleotides in length. Their secondary structure includes four short double-helical elements and three loops (D, anti-codon, and T loops). Lineage: Bacteria; Pseudomonadati; Pseudomonadota; Alphaproteobacteria. RNAcentral also lists the same sequence under 1 other name. The record is from RNAcentral.